RNAcentral lists this ribosomal RNA (254 nucleotides) under uncultured bacterium. RNAcentral describes it as "partial small subunit ribosomal RNA". It matches the Rfam family "Bacterial small subunit ribosomal RNA", at positions 26 to 285 of the family's 1533-position model. The record is from RNAcentral.
AGGACGAACGCUGGCGGCGUGCUUAACACAUGCAAGUCGAGCGGAAAGGCCCUUCGGGGUACUCGAGCGGCGAACGGGUGAGUAACACGUGAGCAACCUGCCCCUAGCUCUGGGAUAGCUCCGGGAAACCGGGAUUAAUACCAGAUACGACCACUUUAGACAUCUUUUGUGGUGGAAAGGAUUCCGGCUAGGGAUGGGCUCGCGGCCUAUCAGCUUGUUGGUGAGGUAACGGCCCACCAAGGCGACGACGGGUA